This 488-nucleotide ribosomal RNA is filed under the name uncultured bacterium. Its description in RNAcentral is "bacterial SSU rRNA". It matches the Rfam family "Bacterial small subunit ribosomal RNA", at positions 28 to 476 of the family's 1533-position model. The record is from RNAcentral.
GAUGAACGCUGGCGGCGUGCCUAAUACAUGCAAGUCGAACGCAUUGUGGUUGAAAUGAUAUGAAGAACUUGUUCAGAUUUGAUUUUCAACAUUGCAAUGAGUGGCGAACGGGUGAGUAACACGUGGGAAACCUACCUCUUAGCAGGGGAUAACAUUUGGAAACAAAUGCUAAUACCGUAUAAUAAUUAAAACCGCAUGGUUUUAGUUUAAAAGAUGGUCUUGCUAUCACUAAGAGAUGGUCCCGCGGUGUAUUAGUUAGUUGGUGAGGUAAUGGCUCACCAAGACAAUGAUACAUAGCCGAGUUGAGAGACUGACCGGCCACAAUGGGACUGAGACACGGCCCAUACUCCUACGGGAGGCAGCAGUAGGGAAUCUUCCACAAUGGACGAAAGUACUGAUGGAGCAACGCCGCGUGUGUGAUGAAGGGUCUCGGCUCGUAAAACACUGUUGUAAGAGAAGAAUGACAUUGAGAGUAACUGUUCAAUGUG